UGCAAUAUAGUAUAAUGAAGAUUAUAUAAGACUCAUGAUCUUAAGAUGAUGGUUUAAAUCCAUCUAUUGCAC
Molecule: transfer RNA, 72 nt
Filed under: Insectozyma bohioensis
Lineage: Eukaryota; Fungi; Ascomycota; Pichiomycetes; Serinales; Debaryomycetaceae
Description: Candida bohioensis tRNA-Met
Rfam family: tRNA
About the family: Transfer RNA (tRNA) molecules are approximately 80 nucleotides in length. Their secondary structure includes four short double-helical elements and three loops (D, anti-codon, and T loops).
Source: RNAcentral